Molecule: ribosomal RNA, 253 nt
Filed under: uncultured bacterium
Lineage: Bacteria
Description: partial 16S ribosomal RNA
Rfam family: Bacterial small subunit ribosomal RNA
Source: RNAcentral
UACGUAGGGGGCAAGCGUUGUCCGGAAUCAUUGGGCGUAAAGCGCGUGUAGGCGGCUGGGUAAGUCCGCUCUGAAAGCCCGGGGCUCAACCCCGGGAGGCGGGUGGAUACUGCUCAGCUCGAGUCCGGAAGAGGAGUGUGGAAUUCCUGGUGUAGCGGUGAAAUGCGCAGAUAUCAGGAAGAACACCUAUGGCGAAGGCAGCACUCUGGGACGGUACUGACGCUGAGACGCGAAAGCGUGGGGAGCGAACAGG